Molecule: ribosomal RNA, 253 nt
Filed under: uncultured bacterium
Lineage: Bacteria
Description: partial 16S ribosomal RNA
Rfam family: Bacterial small subunit ribosomal RNA
Source: RNAcentral
UACGGGGGGGGCAAGCGUUGUUCGGAAUUACUGGGCGUAAAGGGCUCGUAGGUGGUCAACUAAGUCAGACGUGAAAUCCCUCGGCUUAACCGGGGAACUGCGUCUGAUACUGGAUGGCUUGAGUUUGGGAGAGGGAUGCGGAAUUCCAGGUGUAGCGGUGAAAUGCGUAGGUAUCUGGAGGAACACCGGUGGCGAAGGCGGCAUCCUGGACCAACACUGACACUGAUGAGCGAAGGCCAGGGGAGCAAACGGG